CAUGGGGGGCUAUAUUUGGCACUGGGGGCACGUGAGCACCUGGCAUUGUGGGGGAAUAUCUGGCACUGGGGGCAUAUGUGGCACUGUGGGGAGAGGCUAUAUUUGGCACUGGGGGCAUGUGAGUACCUGGCACCGUGGGGGAAUAUCUGGCACUGAGGACAUAUGUGGCACUGGGAGCACAGCCCUAGCAACAAGCACUACCCCCUAGCAAUGAGCUUGACACCCAGUGCAUGAAACCCCUGGCAACGAGCAUGACACCGAGUGCAUGAAACACCUGGCAACGAGCAUGACACCCUGAGCAUGAAAACCCCUGGCACCGUGCAUGGAACCAAGAGCAUGAAACCCCUGGCAACGAGCAGGCGAUGCAGAACCCUAAUGGGUCAUAUAAAUAAAGGAGGAGAAGAAAAAGAAAAAAGGAAGAAAAAAUGCAAGAAGCCGGCGUUCACAUUACUUGAGGUAAAGCAUUCCUUUUAAGGAGAAGUAGGAAUGUGAGGCACAUUCUACACUUAAGUUGAUGGGUUUUUAUCUUGAGUGGGGACCUGUUAAGUCUUAUGUUCGGUCUGGUCCACUAAAGUGGGAUUUGCUCUCAAAAAGUAAUUCAAUUUGGGACAGAGUAUAUGCCCUUGUAAUUAUACUUAUAUUACCUUUAUGCCGUGUUGUCAGCAAUGCUUUUCAGUCAGACUUUAUUCUCAGUUUGUCAGUUCAAC
Long non-coding RNA from Pseudophryne corroboree (corroboree frog), 707 nucleotides. RefSeq lists it as uncharacterized. The transcript is spliced from 3 exons. The record is from RefSeq and is a predicted model, not a curated record. Lineage: Eukaryota; Metazoa; Chordata; Amphibia; Anura; Myobatrachidae.